This 355-nucleotide ribosomal RNA is filed under the name uncultured bacterium. RNAcentral describes it as "bacterial SSU rRNA". It matches the Rfam family "Bacterial small subunit ribosomal RNA", at positions 1 to 334 of the family's 1533-position model. The record is from RNAcentral.
AGAGACGAGUCAGAGUUUGAUCCUGGCUCAGGACGAACGCUGGCGGCGUGCCUAACACAUGCAAGUCGAACGGAGUUUAGAGAAUGAGAGCUUCGGCAGGAAUUUUCGAAGACUUAGUGGCGGACGGGUGAGUAACGCGUGAGCAACCUGCCUUACAGAGGGGGACAACAGUUGGAAACGACUGCUAAUACCGCAUAACAUGUACUUACCGCAUGAUAGAUACAUCAAAGAUUUAUCGCUGUAAGAUGGGCUCGCGUUGGAUUAGAUAGUUGGUGAGGUAACGGCUCACCAAGUCGACGAUCCAUAGCCGGACUGAGAGGUUGAACGGCCACAUUGGGACUGAGAUACGGCCCAG